GACGAACGCUGGCGGCGUGCUUAACACAUGCAAGUCGAACGGAAAGGCCCUGCUUUUGUGGGGUGCUCGAGUGGCGAACGGGUGAGUAACAAGUGAGUAACCUGCCCUUGACUUUGGGAUAACUUCAGGAAACUGGGGCUAAUACCGGAUAGGAGCUCCUGCUGCAUGGUGGGGGUUGGAACGUUUCGGCGGUUGGGGAUGGACUCGCGGCUUAUCAGCUUGUUGGUGGGGUAGUGGCUUACCAAGGCUUUGAGGGGUAGCCGGCCUGAGAGGGUGGCCGGCGACAUUGGGACUGAGAUACGGCCCAGACUCCUACGGGAGGCAGCAGUGGGGAAUAUUGCACAAUGGGCGGAAGCCUGAUGCAGCAACGCCGCGUGCGGGAUGACGGCCUUCGGGUUGUAAACCGCUUUCGCCUGUGACGAAGCGUGAGUGACGGUAAUGGGUAAAGAAGCACCGGCUAACUACGUG
This 468-nucleotide ribosomal RNA is filed under the name uncultured bacterium. RNAcentral describes it as "partial 16S ribosomal RNA". It matches the Rfam family "Bacterial small subunit ribosomal RNA", at positions 28 to 507 of the family's 1533-position model. The record is from RNAcentral.